Pseudophryne corroboree (corroboree frog) is the source of this 527-nucleotide long non-coding RNA. RefSeq lists it as uncharacterized. NCBI's taxonomy places the organism in Eukaryota, Metazoa, Chordata, Amphibia, Anura, Myobatrachidae. The record is from RefSeq and is a predicted model, not a curated record. The transcript is spliced from 3 exons.
GCGCUGCCGCCUAUCUGAAGCCUGGUUGCCAGGAAGCGCCGGUUACCAUGGUUGCCGUGUAAGCUCCGGUUUCCAGGAAGUGACGACAGAUGCGGUUCAGACGCGCUGGCGUCACCACAGCCCGGGGAGUACAGGACGGAUACAGUUCCCACCCCCUCCUCCGGCGUGUGUCCCGUUCGCGGGUUAUCUUUUGCAUAUAAGUGAUCGAAGAACUUUAAAAACCGUGGAGCACUGAGUGCAGAAGACCUUGCCAUAACAUUACUAAGCUCUUGGACUCUGGAUAAUAAAGACUGAAGAUUCUAAUUACUAGCGGCUAUAACCAGCACUGUAGUUGGAAAGGUGGGCUAUGUGAAGGCCUAUACAUCAGCAGAAGCAGUAUUUUCCUGUAGGUGUAUGUUGGUGUGCGUAUUCACCUUUGUCCUGUGAAGACUCAUCAAAUGUAUGUUUCCACAUGUAAUCAAAUCACCUUAUGUGGACAACUUUCCACUGUCAGUACUUCAGCCCACUCCCUGGCCUGUCUCACCUGU